CUAAUCCUCCUCCAAGCCCUCGCACACACCUGCGGCGUCCCAUGCGAUUCCCCUCGAGCUCCACCAGGUUGAUUAGCGUGAUAUACAGAGAAGAUAGCACCGGCGGCUUCCCAAAUCAUCAAAUCUCAUAGCCAUCAAAUUUAUGUGGAUGCGCUGGCAGAUUGAUUGACUACGCAGAAGAGAAGAUUGCAUCAACGGCCGGCCAAAUCGUCAACUAAUUGUCGCUGGAUUUACGUGGAUACAGGGGUUGUUGAUUGGUUCAGGUACAUGGUAGAUAAACUGCACCGGCGGCUGCCCAACUCAUUAGCUUAGUGAUGCUACCAGAUUUGAUUGAUGUACAUAGCAUAGCUGUUAGCAUAAGUCCGAACUAAUCCAACCGAGUACUUUCCGGCGAGAUACAGAUACCAGCCGCAGCUGAUUACUUUCCUGCCGCUGGUCAGGAUACUGGCGUACCAUGCUAGCUAGACCAAAAAAAAGCACUUGGAUAGAUUCCUUCCGAAGAUGUACGUGCGUAUAAUGCUGCUAGACCAAGCUAGCGAUCAGCCGGUCGGACAAGAUCGUGUUUAAUUCCAACGAUAGUUGAUCUCUUUUGAUGCAUGUGUGUAGGUCCUUCCUCUACAGUUCGUGAAAUAGAUGUUGCUGCGACGCAUCCAUCCGAUAUUCAUGUCCCCGGUCUCUUAUCAAGGAUCGGAGUUGCUGGCAUGCCAGCUUUAGAAGUAGUAAAACGGAUGGAUAUUUUACCACCAAUUACUACAGGAGGGAGGUAUUGACUACAAGAACUGAGGCAUGCAAAAAUCAAGUGAUCAUUUCAUCAAGCUAGAAUACAACGAAACAUGCAAAUCAAUAGUUUGUGUCCAUAAGAGAUGAUACCCAGGAGAGGUGGUGCCAAUGAUGCAUGGAGUCAAUUCAGUAGUCGAGGAGAGGCAACAAAGAUUGGGAGCUAACCUUGGACACAGAAGUAGUAACUUGAGGAAAAUAUAAGUAAGACAAGGGAACACACCCCUCUGUUUGCAAGUACAUGACGUUGUAUACACUGAAACAUACACCAGCGUGCAUAAUUGACCAUACG
Molecule: long non-coding RNA, 1069 nt
Organism: Triticum aestivum (bread wheat)
Lineage: Eukaryota; Viridiplantae; Streptophyta; Magnoliopsida; Poales; Poaceae
Exons: 3
Source: RefSeq, a predicted model, not a curated record